GAGGGUGUAGCUCAGUGGUAGAGUGUGUGCUUAGCAUGCAUGAGGUCCUCAGUUCAAUUCCCAGUACCUUCA
RNAcentral lists this transfer RNA (72 nucleotides) under Camelus bactrianus (Bactrian camel). It matches the Rfam family "tRNA". Rfam says of the family: Transfer RNA (tRNA) molecules are approximately 80 nucleotides in length. Their secondary structure includes four short double-helical elements and three loops (D, anti-codon, and T loops). The record is from Rfam by way of RNAcentral. Lineage: Eukaryota; Metazoa; Chordata; Mammalia; Artiodactyla; Camelidae. RNAcentral also lists the same sequence under 1 other name.